ACGGGCUUUUCGGAGCUAGUGGCGGACGGGUGAGUAACGCGUGAGAAUCUGGCUUCAGGUUCGGGACAACAGUUGGAAACGGCUGCUAAUACCGGAUGUGCCUUAGGGUGAAAGAUUUAUCACCUGAAGAUGAGCUCGCGUCUGAUUAGCUAGUAGGUGUGGUAAGAGCGCACCUAGGCGACGAUCAGUAGCUGGUCUGAGAGGAUGAUCAGCCACACUGGGACUGAGACACGGCCCAGACUCCUACGGGAGGCAGCAGUGGGGAAUUUUCCGCAAUGGGCGAAAGCCUGACGGAGCAAUACCGCGUGAGGGAGGAAGGCUCUUGGGUUGUAAACCUCUUUUCUCAGGGAAGAAUAAAUGACGGUACCUGAGGAAUAAGCAUCGGCUAACUCCGUGCCAGCAGCCGCGGUAAUACGGAGGAUGCAAGCGUUAUCCGGAAUGAUUGGGCGUAAAGCGUCCGCAGGUGGCAAUGUAAGUCUGCUGUCAAAGCGUCUGGCUCAACCAGAUAAAGGCAGUGGAAACUACAUAGCUAGAGUAAGGUAGGGGUAGAGGGAAUUCCUGGUGUAGCGGUGAAAUGCGUAGAGAUCAGGAAGAACACCGGUGGCGAAAGCGCUCUGCUGGACCUAAACUGACACUGA
Molecule: ribosomal RNA, 638 nt
Filed under: uncultured cyanobacterium
Lineage: Bacteria; Bacillati; Cyanobacteriota
Description: bacterial SSU rRNA
Rfam family: Bacterial small subunit ribosomal RNA
Source: RNAcentral